GUUGCAUUGCUGUCUAUGCAGGCCUCUCUGAACCAUCGGAUUUCAAUCAAAAAUAUCUUAAUUUGUGUUCCGAAGAUGAGCGAAGGUCUUAUACGAAAUGAGGAAAUGAGGACCAUACCAAUGGAGCGCUGCACAACGUCUUAAAGAAAACAGCACAUCGGGAAUAUUGUGAAAGGCCUGAGGCUCUCCCUGCCGCACACUGUCUGCCAGACGAUUCGUCUCUAUAGGAAAGCAGAGAGAGAGAGAGAUUUGAGAGAUCUGGUCGUGUCAGUCCAUCUGAUCUAAAUGUCACAGGGUUGAUCUUCUGUCCUUGAUGCCACCAGGAUCUGUUACUGAUGUCCCACAUAUGCAACAGAGUGAGAGUUCUAGAACGAGUUUGUUUGAAAAAUAAAGCCAAGAGAUAUUUUUGUUCAGAUACAGUCUGAGCUGGUUCAUAUAAUGUGAAAAUGUGUUUAAUCUUUUUUAUAUCAUUUGAAUGUAUGUGUAAAAUCUAUAGUUAGCUUUUGAUAUAUUUGUCAUCUCUUUGGACGCCUCAAGCAUAGGGUAAAAGAUAGAGUAUACUGCCACCUGCUGGACAAAAAACUUUACUGCAAACCCCUCUUUACUGGAAUUUUGUAGAAUGGGGAUUCACAAAAAUGUUGUCAGUUGUACCCCUGUGAACUA
This is a long non-coding RNA of Megalobrama amblycephala (Wuchang bream), 663 nucleotides long. RefSeq lists it as uncharacterized. The record is from RefSeq and is a predicted model, not a curated record. The transcript is spliced from 3 exons. NCBI's taxonomy places the organism in Eukaryota, Metazoa, Chordata, Actinopteri, Cypriniformes, Xenocyprididae.